GGCAGUGUGGGCUAGUGGACAGAGCACUGGAUUGGUACUCAGGAGACCUGGGUUCUAUUCCCAGCUCUUCCA
RNAcentral lists this transfer RNA (72 nucleotides) under Chelonia mydas (Green sea turtle). It matches the Rfam family "tRNA". Rfam says of the family: Transfer RNA (tRNA) molecules are approximately 80 nucleotides in length. Their secondary structure includes four short double-helical elements and three loops (D, anti-codon, and T loops). Further hydrogen bonds mediate the characteristic L-shaped molecular structure. tRNAs have two regions of fundamental functional importance: the anti-codon, which is responsible for specific mRNA codon recognition, and the 3' end, to which the tRNAs corresponding amino acid is attached (by aminoacyl-tRNA synthetases). tRNAs cope with the degeneracy of the genetic code in two manners: having more than one tRNA (with a specific anti-codon) for a particular amino acid; and 'wobble' base-pairing, i.e. permitting non-standard base-pairing at the 3rd anti-codon position. Lineage: Eukaryota; Metazoa; Chordata; Testudines; Cheloniidae. The record is from Rfam by way of RNAcentral.